CCUACGGGAGGCAGCAGUGGGGAAUAUUGGGCAAUGGGCGCAAGCCUUACCCAGCAAUACCGCGUGAGUGAAGAAGGUCUCCGGAUUGUAAAGCUCUUUGAUCAGGGACGAACAGAUGACGGUACCUGAAGAACAAGCCCCGGAUAACUACGUGCCAGCAGCGGCGGUCAAACGUAGGGGGCGAGCGUUGUCCGGAAUGACUGGGCGUAAAGGGUGUGUAGGGGGCAUAAUAAGUUAGAAGUGAAAUACCCAGGGCUUAACUCGGGUGCUGCUUCUAAGACUGUUGAGCUUGAGUGCGGGAGAGGUUAAUGGAAUUCCUAGUGUAGCGGUGGAAUGCGUAGAUAUUAGGAGGAACACCAGAGGCGAAGGCGAUUAACUGGACCGUAACUGACGCUGAGGCACGAAAGUGUGGGUAGCAAACAGGAUUAGAUACCCGUGUAGUC
This 443-nucleotide ribosomal RNA is filed under the name uncultured bacterium. Its description in RNAcentral is "partial 16S ribosomal RNA". It matches the Rfam family "Bacterial small subunit ribosomal RNA", at positions 338 to 795 of the family's 1533-position model. The record is from RNAcentral.